GUAGGUGGCAAGCGUUGUCCGGAAUUAUUGGGCGUAAAGCGCGCGCAGGCGGUUCUUUAAGUCUGAUGUGAAAGCCCACGGCUCAACCGUGGAGGGUCAUUGGAAACUGGAGAACUUGAGUACAGAAGAGGAAAGCGGAAUUCCACGUGUAGCGGUGAAAUGCGUAGAGAUGUGGAGGAACACCAGUGGCGAAGGCGGCUUUCUGGUCUGUAACUGACGCUGAGGCGCGAAAGCGUGGGGAGCAAGCAGGAUUAGAUACCCUGGUAGUCCACGCCGUAAACGAUGAGUGCUAAGUGUUAGGGGGGUUUCCGCCCCCCUUAGUGCUGCAGCUAACGCAUUAAGCACUCCGCCCUGGGAGUACGGCCGCAAGGCCG
RNAcentral lists this ribosomal RNA (374 nucleotides) under uncultured organism. RNAcentral's name for it is "partial 16S ribosomal RNA". It matches the Rfam family "Bacterial small subunit ribosomal RNA", at positions 527 to 896 of the family's 1533-position model. The record is from RNAcentral.